CCGAAACAGGUUUGAAAACCAAUUGAAAGCUAAAUCACAAGCUAACUUGCGGACCUCGAUCAACAAAUCAAAUGAACCAAAGGAAAGCUUGAAAAGAGGUAUGGACUGACGGUACUGGUCGUCGAUUUUGGUGAUGAUGGAGAUCUGGCAGACUACAGAAUCACUAAAAUAGGUCUCUUUGGAUAUUUGCCGGAGAAACAAUCCAACCACCCAUCUCUGAUCUCUACUUUCUCUCUCUCCAUCUCCCUAUCUUUUCGCUCAACCUCUCCCUCUCUCUAUCGAACUUGUCCUGGUGUUGUGUUUGUGUGCUUGUUACCGUGAGGGUGAGUAUCAUCAAGAAGAAAAGGAUAAUAGAUUUUUCUUUUUUAGUUUUUUGUAUUGAUGAUGGAGUAGUCUGUGGAAUCUCAAUUGGAGAAGAUGGUGGAUGAUCUCCUUCUUUUUGUGUGAAUGAAUUUUUGGUAUGGUUUUUCUAUCUGAGAAUGUGAUUAUGAUGAUGAUAUGUGUAUAUAUGUAUUUAUCGCCACAUCCUCUUUCCCCAAUCCCAAGCCCAAGCCUAUGUCCAAGCUCCAUAUAUUCCUCCCCACCAUUACUACCCUCCGCAAAACCCACCAUAUGCCAUUCCACCCCCUUUGUACACAGUAUAUAGAAUGCAACCAUAUGCCCAAACCCCUUUUUACCCGCAAUGGUGCGCACAAGCUCCACAAAAUCGUCCAUCAGCUCCUCCAAAUUACCAAAACCCCUCUAGACUUGGUUUCCCACCCAGGCCUGAGUACAAGAAGGAAAAGGCGGUCAAAAAUCAGUUCACACCUCAUGGGGAGUCAUAUGCUAGUUUUUUUGAUAGGUUAAGAAAGAUGAAGGUCUUAAGCCCAAUUCAAGAAUGGCUUACAAAUCCGCCUUCGAGGAAUCUCGAUUAUUCUUUAAGGUGUAAGUACUGUUUUGACAUGCUAGGCCACGAUAUCGAGAAAUACUGGCAUUUAAAGAGAGUUAUCCAAGAUUUAAUUAAACCAAAUGAUCAAGUUUGAGCAUGACAGGCAAGAAGUGGUUAUUAUAGUGAAGGGGAUUUGUCUGCCUAUGAAGAUUAUCCUUAGUUCCUUAUUGAAGAAAACAAUGUAGAAGAGACAUUUUUCUAUCAAACUUUUGAUACAGUGCUAGUAGAUCGUAUCCUUGGAGGACAGGUUAUGCCACAAUUGUCUUCCACUUCUAUUAUGAUGGUGAGUGAGCUUUUGAAAUAAGGAUUUAUGCCAGGGAAGGGUUUGGGAAUGUCUCUGCAUGGUAUCGUUCGUCCCAUAUGUUCGAGAGAGAACAUGGGCACUUUUGGUCUGGGAUUUGAACCUACGGCUGAAGAUUUGAAGAAGGCCAAGGGUAGGAAAAAGGAAACAUGGUCACUCCCUCGCCCAAUGCCGCUACUCAGGGAAUCAUUUGUCAAGAGCGAUGUCAUGAAACCUAUAGAAUUUGAAGCUGAAUUAGUUGGUGACUUCCUGAACCUACUGAUUGAUGUUGACAUGGUUGAAACGGAAUAGGGUACCAACAAGGCGGAUGUGCUAUUCAUAGGUCCUGAGGUCUAGCUCAACAAUUGGGAAGUCACUCCUCUCCCCAUCAGGAGGAAGUUUUGGUAGUUCAUUUUGUUUUUAUUUCUAUUUAUCCGAGUCAUUCCGGGGUUGUAAUUCAGAAUCUAGCUUGUUUACAUUCUAUUGUCAUUUGUGUUUAAACCCUCAUAUCUUUUCCUUUUUAAUGAAAUGCAAUGUGCCCUUAUUUUGUGUCUAAUAUAUUUUGUUUUCGUCUUUUUCUUUAUACAGUUCUCUUUAUGCUGAUUCUAAUGACAUGACAUGCAUGCUGAAUUUUUAGCCUGAUCUUAAAAUACAAACUAAUCAAGAUAUAAGGAAGCAAGAGGUGGAAUAUUAUGAAGAAAAGGCACUAGAAGAAAUAAGCAAAGAGUUGGAACAGUUUAAAGGCAAACCAAAUCUCAAUUUGAAUGAAACUGAGCCAAUAAAUCUAGGGAAUCAAGAAGAUGUUAGGGAAACUAAAAUCAGUGUACAUGCUUUGCCGCAGCUAAAAGAUGGAAUGAUUCAAGCAUAUAUUGAUUAUAAGGAUGUUUUUGCAUGGUCUUAUGAUGAUAUGCCUGGUUUAAGCACUAAAUUAGUGUCUCAUAAAUUGCCAACUGAUUCUACAUUCCCCCUAUGAAACAGAAGUUGAGGAAGUUUAAAACUGAUGUAAGUAUCAAAAUCAAAGAAGAAAUCAUGAAACAACUUAAAGCCAAAGUAAUUCGAGUGGCUAGUUAUCCUACGUGGUUAUCCAAUGGUGUUCCUUUCCUAAAGAAAGAUGGAAAAAUUUGAGCAUGUGUUGAUUACCGUGAUUUGAACAGAGCAAGUCGGAAGGAUGAUUUUCCGUUACCCAAUAUUCAUAUUUUACUGGACAAUUGUGCUAAACACGAGGUUGCCUCUUUUAUGGAUUGUUAUGCUGGAUACCACCAGAUCAUUAUGGAUGAUGAAGAUGCGGAAAAGACGUCUUUUAUCACAACAUGGGGGACUUAUUUCUAUCGAGUGAUGCCGUUUGGCUUGAAGAAUGCUAGAGCAACAUACAUAAGAGCCAUGACCACUAUGUUUCAUGAUAUGAUGCAUAAGGAGAUUGAGGUCUAUGUAGAUGAUGUGAUUAUUAAGUCAAAAAGUCAGGAUGACCAUGUUAAAGAUUUAAGAAAGUUCUUUGAAAGGAUUCGCAGGUAUAAUCUCAAGUUCAACCCACAAAAUGUGUAUUUGGAGUUUCGUUUGGAAAUCUAUUGGGGUUUGUAGUCAGCCGCCAGGAAAUUGAAUUAGAUCCCUCAAAAAUCAAAGCCAUUCAGGAUUUGCCCCCGUCCAAGAAUAGGACAGAGGUAAUGAGUUUACUUGGUCAACUGAAUUACAUCAGAAGGUUUAUUGCUCAACUCACAACCGCUUGUGAGCCCAUAUUCAAGUUGCUGAAAAAGAGUGCUGUGGUAGAAUGGAAUGAAGAAUGUCAGGUUCAAUAGAAUCAAAAGAUACUUGUCAAAUCUACCUGUGCUGGUACCACUGGAGCCUGGUAGGCCUUUGAUCUUAUAUUUCUCAGGGACAAUUCUUUCGGUUGUGUCCUGGGUCAACAUGAUGUCACAGGCAAAAAGGAGCAGGCUAUUUAUUAUCUUAGCAAGAAGUUCACCGCAUAUGAGGCCAAGUAUACUCUUCUUGAAAGGACGUGUUGUGCCCUAACUUGGGUAGCACAGAAGUUGAAGCAUUAUCUUUCAUCCUACACUACUUAUCUCAUCUCCCACAUGGAUCCUUUGAAUUAUAUCUUUCAGAAGCCUAUGUCGACCGGUCGUUUGGCAAAGUGGCAAAUAUUGCUUACCGAGUUCGACAUUGUAUAUGUGACUCGAACCGCCAUGAAAUCCCAAGCCUUGGCAGAUCAUCUUGCUGAGAAUCCAAUUGAUGAAGAGUACGAGCCAUUAAAGACAUAUUUUCCUGAUAAAGAAGUGUUGUGUGUCGAUGAAGUCGUUAUAGAUGCUGAUCCAGGUUGGAAGUUAUUCUUUGAUAGAGCUGUCACACCCCUUUUUGACUCCAAAAUAUUUCAAUUUAAGUUCGAAAGGGUUUUUAUUAUUAAAGUGUCAAAAUGAAAGUUUUUUUCGAAAAAGGACUUUUUAUAUUCAAAACUCAGAGUCGCCACUUGGCAUAAAUCAGUUGUGCCAAGUCACCGUUGGAUAUCCUUUUCAAAACGUUAUGAAUCUUUAAACUGGUUUGCGAACAAAGAUUCUAGCUAAGGAAUUCUGUUGACCGAGGGGAAUGUGUUAGGCACCCCUUGGUCCUGUGGUUUGAGCACGGUCGCUUGGUGGAGAGUAUCGGCUAAUUUGAACACUAUGAUACGUAUAAACCAAACAAACAUUCAAAACAAACAAUCACACCAAACCAAAACAAGUCCGAAAAAUAAUGUUCAGUCCGAGUUAUAUAGUCCAAAAAAUAGAAAAAUACAGAAAUAUAAAAUCCUAUUCUAAACUAAUCCUAGACUAAACUCCAAUACCUCAGGCCUUCAUCACGAACAUCCUCCGAGUACAAAAUACCUCAAGGCAUUCCCCGGAUAAAAAUAAUACAAGUACUUCAGGGCAUUCCCCGGUCAAAUGAUACAAGUGAUCCCAAAGUAUAUAGCCAAAAGCCAUUCAAUCUCAAAAAUCAAAUAUUCUAUCAAUCCACAAUCCCUAAAUUCACCUACCCGACCUACGUUUACCUAUCUAAGCUCGAUUUAUCGCAUUCAUGCUUACCCUUAAUUGAACCAAAUGACAAUCGACCAAAAUUUAACUACACAACUUUUAUCAACUUCUUAAUUCCGCCCCAAAUUAUGAUUCAACCCCAAUUUGAGCCAAUUUCUUUGAAUAUUCCAAUUCACAACAAUCAAUCAAUCGAUAUCGACAGGCAACCACGAUGAUACAUAAAAUAUCGAAAUCAACAAAAUAAAAUCAACACAAAAUGAUUUUAUCAUACCAAGUAUCACACAAUUCAAAAUUAAUUGAGAAUAAAAUAAAAAAUGAAACUUAAUGCCACUUUUAUUCAAUCAAACGGAGGAGCUUCGCGGAUUCGGAACCUCGACUUAACCGACUUUGAACAAAAUCUUAUUUGGUGUUGAAUUUAACCCCGAAACAGGUUUGAAAACCAAUCGAAAUCUAAAUCACAAGCUAACUCGCGGACCUCGAUCAACAAAUCAAACGAACCAAAGGAAAGCUUGAACGGAGGUGUGGACUGACACUAAUGGUCGUCAAUUUUGGUGAUGACGGAGCUUCAGUGGACUACAUAAUCACUGAAAUGGGUCUCUCCGGAUAUUCCCCAGAGAAACAAUCCAAUCACCCAUCUCUGAUCUCUACUUUCUCUCUCUCCAGCUCCCUCUCUUUUCGCUCAACCUCUCCCUCUAUCGAUCGGACUUGUCCUGGUGUUGUAUGUGUGUGCUUGUUACCGUGAGGGUGAGUAUCAUUAAGAAGAAAAGGAUAAUGGAGUUUUCUUUUUCAGUUUUGUGUAUUGUGAUGGAGUGGUCUGUGGAAUCUCAAUUGGAGAAGUUGGUGGAUGAUCUCAUUUUCCUUUUUUUUUUUUUUGUGAAUGAAUUUUUGGUAUGGUUUUUCUAUCCGAGAAUGUGAUUAUGAUGAUGAUGUGUGUAUAUAUGUAUUUCAUCGCCUUAAAACAAAAUGGUUCCUUUUGGGCUUUCCUUGAAGUUUCCUAGUGGGGUCCUUUCUAAUGUUUAUCCCUUUUUGCCUUUGUAGACAAGAAAUAUGAGAGGGAAGGGGUCACGUGGGUAUGGGGUGUUGGGGGUAGGGGUAUGGGUAAUGUGUCUUCUUUUAAUUGAAAGGGUUGUUAGGAUUUUAAAAAGAAUAAAAGUUUGUUAGGGAUUUUGUUGAGAGUUAUUUUUUGUUGCUAGGAUGUUAAAAAGAAUAAAAGUUUGUAAGGGAUUUUGUUGAGAGUUAUUUUUUUGUAUUUUUGUGGGAUGUAAUUAUAUGGGUGAGGGUACACGGUAGGAUAAGGUAAAAAUGGGUAAAACAAUAUUGGGGAGGGACGAAAUUACAUGUUUACAAGAGCAAGUGUCUUGAUGGGGUACUCUAGCAGUCAGAAGGGAUAUCUGAUAUAUGAUAUGUCUUCUAACAUCUUCUCUUUGAGUGGAGAUGUGUCAUUUAGGGAAGAUAUAUUUCCAUUUAAACUGCUCAAGAAUCAAACUCAGUCACCUCAUCAUAUCUUUCCUUUGGAAGACCAAUAUCUAGUGCUAGGUGAUGCUGGGACAUCUCUGCAAAUUCCAGUAACUAGGUCACCUCAAGGGGUUCCUGAUUCAGUUAAUCAGCUUGAGCAACAACUGCAGGUUGUUCCUACUCCUGCACAGUCUAUAACUCGGUGUAUUAAAGAAGACCAACUAGAGGUCAUCCUACUCCUGCACAAUCACAGUCUAUAACUUAGGUGCAUCAAAGAAGAUCAACUAGAGAUCAAGGGGCUCCUAAGUUAGAUAAUCAGUAAGAGCAGCAACUGUAGGUUGUUCCUACCCUUGCACAGUCCAUAACUCAGACUUCUGCACCUCAGGAUCAAAGAAGAUCAACUAGAGGUAGAAAGCCGCCAGUAUGGAUGAAUGACUUUGUUUCCAAAAGUACAAAGAAAGCACCUCAUGCUCUUGUUAAUCAUGUGUCAUAUGAUAAACUCUCAUCAUCCUAUAAUAGCUAUGUGCUGAAAACUUCAUGUGUUGCUGAACCUAGAAGUUACUCUAAGGCCUAUAAAAAUCCUAGAUGGGUGGAAGCAAUGAAAAAUGAGAUAGAAGCUUUAAAUUCCAUCAUACUUAGGAGAUUGUUACUCUGCCUAAAGGAAAGAAGUCUAUUAGUUGCAAGCACCAAGUUAAUGGAAUACCAAGUUAUCAAAGGUAUUGCUAAGAGCCCAAUUCACUCAGAGUCAAUAUGAUCCAUCCUUAUACAUUAGAAAGACAUCAUAAGGAGUCACUCUUGUGCUAGUAUAUGUUGAUGAUAUGCCCUUUCCUCUUCCGACGUNNNNNNNNNNNNNNNNNNNNNNNNNNCUGGAGCUUGGACAGCACGCCCAGGCUAACUAGAGCGUGGACAAUAUAUGGGGGGCCACCAUCGGUGAACAAAGAUUGGGAUGGGCCUGGCUUUGAUACUAUGUGAAAAUUGGUCUUGGGCCUACCUCACACCCCAAAAGCUAGCUCAUGAGGGGAGGAUUUCCCAAGACCAUAUAAGGAGACCAAGGACCCUUUAAACCCAUGAUAUGGGACUCCAACAAAAACUGAUAGAAGAAACUAAGGCAAUUCUACACCAAAACUUCAGGAUGAAAAAUCUAGGUGAGCUGAGAUUUUUCCUUGGAAUAGAAUUUGCAAGAUUUGAUAAAGGGGUGUUAAUGCACCAAAUAAAAUAUGCAUUGAAUUACUAUCUGAGUUAGGCUUAACAACAGCCAAGCCUGCAGCUACUCCAAUGGAUUAUAACAUCAAACUAACAACUAACAGUUUGAUUAGUAUGUCAAGCAAGGAUAGUCUACCACCAACCAAUCAAGUUGCUUACCAGAAAUUGAUUAGUAAGUUGUUCAUUUAACUAUGACAAGACCAGACAUAGCCUUUUGUGUUCAAACAUUAAGUCAGUUUCUUCAAUAUCCUAAGAAGUCACACAUGGAGGUAACACUUAGAGUUGUGAAGUAUGUUAAAAAUCAACCAGAUGUUGUCUAGUGAUACAAAUGCAAAGUGAGUGCUUAUUGUGGUGCAGCAUCCUGUCUUCAAACUAGAAGAUCUGUAACUGGCUAUUUUGUGAAGGUUGGAGAAUCAAUAGUAUCCUAGAAAUCAAAGAAACAAACUAAUGUUUGCAAGAGCUUAGCUGAGGCAGAAUUUAGAAGUCUUGCAGCAGUAGCAACAGAGUUGAUAUGAAUUCUAGGUCUGAUGAAGGAAGUUGGAAGUGAAGUAGUGCUACCUGUCAGUGAUAGCAAGUCUGCUCUACAAAUAUCAGCAAAUCCAAAAUAUCAUGGGAGGAUAAAACAAACUGAUAUAAAUUGCUUCUUUAUCAGGAAAAACUUGUUCAAGGGAAAAUCUGGACUCACUAUACUCCAACUCAAGAUCAACCUGCAGACAUGCUAACUAAGGGGCUGACAAGAGCACACGAAGUUCAUCUCAAUGACAAGCUAGAAAUUUGUGACAUUUUCACACCUUCCUAGCUUGAGGGGGAGUGUAGAAUAUGUAAAGAAUGCAGCAGAACAAUGA
This 7707-nucleotide long non-coding RNA is filed under the name Capsicum annuum. RNAcentral's name for it is "long non-coding RNA (CANN_LNC007862)". Lineage: Eukaryota; Viridiplantae; Streptophyta; Magnoliopsida; Solanales; Solanaceae. The record is from RNAcentral.